RNAcentral lists this unclassified non-coding RNA (180 nucleotides) under uncultured Tubeufiaceae. RNAcentral describes it as "sequence contains ITS1". Lineage: Eukaryota; Fungi; Ascomycota; Dothideomycetes; Tubeufiales; Tubeufiaceae. The record is from RNAcentral.
CUGAGUACCGGGUCUCUCAGGCCCUUACUCCCACCCUCUGUGUACCUUACCACUUAUUCAGUUGCCUUGGCGGGAACCUCCCCCCUCGGACCGCUAGCCCGGUCCCUGGACGAGGCCCGCCAGGGGGACUCACCAAAACUCUUUUGAAUCGGGUUGUCUGAGAACAAAUCUAAUAGAUUA